AUUGAACGCUGGCGGCAUGCCUUACACAUGCAAGUCGAACGGCAGCACGGGUGCUUGCACCUGGUGGCGCGUGGCGCACGGGUGAGUAAUACAUCGGAACAUGUCCUGUAGUGGGGGAUAGCCCGGCGAAAGCCGGAUUAAUACCGCAUACGCUCUGCGGAUGAGAGCGGGGGACCUUCGGGCCUCGCUCUCUGGGGUUGGUCGAUGGCGGAUUAGCUAGUUGGUGGGGUAAAGGCCUACCAAGGCGACGAUCAGUAGCUGGUCUGAGAGGACGACCAGCCACACUGGGACUGAGACACGGCCCAGACUCCUACGGGAGGCAGCAGUGGGGAAUUUUGGACAAUGGGCGAAAGCCUGAUCCAGCAAUGCCGCGUGUGUGAAGAAGGCCUUCGGGUUGUAAAGCACUUUUGUCCGGAAAGAAAUCCUUGGCGCUAAUACAGUCGGGGGAUGACGGUACCGGAAGAAUAAGCACCGGCUAACUACGUG
Molecule: ribosomal RNA, 486 nt
Filed under: uncultured bacterium
Lineage: Bacteria
Description: partial 16S ribosomal RNA
Rfam family: Bacterial small subunit ribosomal RNA
Source: RNAcentral